CCUACGGGAGGCAGCAGUGAGGAAUAUUGGUCAAUGGGCGAGAGUCUGAACCAGCCAAGUCGCGUGAAGGAUGACUGCACAAUGGGUUGUAAACUUCUUUUGUCUGGGAAUAAAAUGUUCCACGUGUGGGCGUUUGUAUGUACCAUAUGAAUAAGGAUCGGCUAACUCCGUGCCAGCAGCCGCGGUAAUACGGAGGAUCCGAGCGUUAUCCGGAUUUAUUGGGUUUAAAGGGAGCGUAGGUGGAUUGUUAAGUCAGUUGUGAAAGUUCGCGGCUCAACCGUAAAAUUGCAGUUGAAACUGGCAGUCUUGAGUACAGUAGAGGUGGGCGGAAUGCGUGGUGUAGCGGUGAAAUGCUUAGAUAUCGCGAAGAACUCCGAUUGCGAAGGCAGUUCACCGGACUGCAACUGACACUGAGGCACGAAAGUGUGGGUAUCGAACAGGAUUAGAUACCCUAGUAGUC
Molecule: ribosomal RNA, 460 nt
Filed under: uncultured bacterium
Lineage: Bacteria
Description: partial 16S ribosomal RNA
Rfam family: Bacterial small subunit ribosomal RNA
Source: RNAcentral